GAUGAACGCUGGCGGCGUGCUUAACACAUGCAAGUCGAACGAAGCACUUUAUUUGAUUUCCUUCGGGACUGAUUAUUUUGUGACUGAGUGGCGGACGGGUGAGUAACGCGUGGGUAACCUGCCUUGUACAGGGGGAUAACAGUUGGAAACGGCUGCUAAUACCGCAUAAGCGCACAGUAUCGCAUGAUGCAGUGUGAAAAACUCCGGUGGUAUAAGAUGGACCCGCGUUGGAUUAGCUAGUUGGUGAGGUAACGGCCCACCAAGGCGACGAUCCAUAGCCGACCUGAGAGGGUGACCGGCCACAUUGAGACUGAGACACGGCCCAAACUCCUACGGGAGGCAGCAGUGGGGAAUAUUGCACAAUGGGCGAAAGCCUGAUGCAGCGACGCCGCGUGAGCGAAGAAGUAUUUCGGUAUGUAAAGCUCUAUCAGCAGGGAAGUUAAUGACGGUACCUGACUAAGAAGCACCGGCUAAAUACGUGCCAGCAGCCGCGGUAAUACGUAUGGUGCAAGCGUUAUCCGGAUUUACUGGGUGUAAAGGGAGCGCAGGCGGUGCGGCAAGUCUGAUGUGAAAGCCCGGGGCUCAACCCCGGUACUGCAUUGGAAACUGUCGUACUAGAGUGUCGGAGGGGUAAGCGGAAUUCCUAGUGUAGCGGUGAAAUGCGUAGAUAUUAGGAGGAACACCAGUGGCGAAGGCGGCUUACUGGACGAUAACUGACGCUGAGGCUCGAAAGCGUGGGGAGCAAACAGGAUUAGAUACCCUGGUAGUCCACGCCGUAAAAACGAUGAAUACUAGGUGGGGGGAAGCAUUGCUUCUCGGUGCCGUCGCAAACGCAGUAAGUAUUCCACCUGGGGAGUACGUUCGCAAGAAAGAAACUCAAAGGAAAUGACGGGGACCCGCACAAGCGGUGGAGCAUGUGGUUUAAUUCGAAGCAACGCGAAGAACCUUACCAAGUCUUGACAUCCUUCUGACCGGUACUUAACCGUACCUUCUCUUCGGAGCAGGAGUGACAGGUGGUGCAUGGUUGUCGUCAGCUCGUGUCGUGAGAUGUUGGGUUAAGUCCCGCAACGAGCGCAACCCUUAUCUUUAGUAGCCAGCGGUUUGGCCGGGCACUCUAGAGAGACUGCCAGGGAUAACCUGGAGGAAGGCGGGGAGGACGUCAAAUCAUCAUGCCCCCUAUGACUUGGGCUACACACGUGCUACAAUGGCGUAAACAAAGGGAAGCAAAGCUGUGAAGCCGAGCAAAUCUCAAAAAUAACGUCUCAGUUCGGACUGUAGUCUGCAACCCGCCUACACGAAGCUGGAAUCGCUAGUAAUCGCAGAUCAGAAUGCUGCGGUGAAUAAAAUCCCGGGUCUUGCAC
Molecule: ribosomal RNA, 1361 nt
Filed under: uncultured bacterium
Lineage: Bacteria
Description: 16S ribosomal RNA
Rfam family: Bacterial small subunit ribosomal RNA
Source: RNAcentral